Molecule: long non-coding RNA, 419 nt
Filed under: Mustela putorius furo (domestic ferret)
Lineage: Eukaryota; Metazoa; Chordata; Mammalia; Carnivora; Mustelidae
Description: lncRNA (ENSMPUG00000031286.1)
Source: RNAcentral
UGUAUUUUUCCUGAAUAAUUUUCUGUGUGUUCAUUGACUUAUUUCUCCAUUAGGCAAAAUGAAAAAAGGAAGAACAAAGAUUCCUCAUUGUGAAAGAGGAAGGCUCCACGGACAGCUUGUAUGAGCCAGUCCCAGAGCAGCAGACUAAUCAAGAAAGCACCUCUGUUGGGACUGGUUUUGUUAUCUCACCUUUUGGAGAGAGUGGAAAAGCACACGACAAUUUCUUCAUGGAAGUUUCUGACUUUGAGAAUGCACAACCAGAAAGAAAGUAAGUCAAGUUCACUUUGUAAGUUUUAUGUUGUUAGUUCUAUCAUGCUGAAUGGAAUAUUUUCGUGGUUUUCCUAUCAAAGUGCUUUUUUAAAAAUUGUCAUGUACAGAUCUAGAUAUGUUUCACUCUGCUACCAUUUAUCUGUUUAUGC